RNAcentral lists this ribosomal RNA (300 nucleotides) under Triticum aestivum (bread wheat). RNAcentral describes it as "partial small subunit ribosomal RNA". Lineage: Eukaryota; Viridiplantae; Streptophyta; Magnoliopsida; Poales; Poaceae. The record is from RNAcentral.
AUGUUGCAUUUGUUGAGGUUCAUCAUCAAUGAUCGCACUUUCUUGUUCUUGCUCUUGAUGAUGAUCUUGUUCUUGAAUAUGAUCAUGGUGAGGGACUUGUUCUUCUUCUUGUUCUUGAACAACGGGCUUCGCUUGAGCAAUAGGAUCUUGUGGUGGCAUGGGUGUUGUAGUGGCUUGAUGAUGAGUGAAACCUCCAUCUUCUUCUUCAUCAUCAUGAGGUUCUUGUUCCAUUGGAACAAGAGCACCAACACCCAUGGUCAAAAUAUAUUGAGAAGGAUCUUCUUCACCAACCUCACUUAG